Molecule: transfer RNA, 77 nt
Filed under: Deltaproteobacteria bacterium
Lineage: Bacteria; Pseudomonadati; Myxococcota; Myxococcia
Description: tRNA-Arg
Rfam family: tRNA
About the family: Transfer RNA (tRNA) molecules are approximately 80 nucleotides in length. Their secondary structure includes four short double-helical elements and three loops (D, anti-codon, and T loops).
Source: RNAcentral
GGGCGAUUAGCUCAGCUGGAUAGAGCGGCAGCCUCCGGAGCUGCAGGCCGCGCGUUCGAAUCGCGCAUCGCCCACCA